This 427-nucleotide ribosomal RNA is filed under the name uncultured bacterium. RNAcentral's name for it is "partial 16S ribosomal RNA". It matches the Rfam family "Bacterial small subunit ribosomal RNA", at positions 355 to 774 of the family's 1533-position model. The record is from RNAcentral.
UGGGGAAUAUUGCACAAUGGGCGCAAGCCUGAUGCAGCCAUGCCGCGUGUGUGAAGAAGGCCUUCGGGUUGUAAAGCACUUUCAGCGAGGAGGAAGGGUAGUGUGUUAAUAGCACAUUGCAUUGACGUUACUCGCAGAAGAAGCACCGGCUAACUCCGUGCCAGCAGCCGCGGUAAUACGGAGGGUGCAAGCGUUAAUCGGAAUUACUGGGCGUAAAGCGCACGCAGUCGGUUUGUUAAGUCAGAUGUGAAAUCCCCGCGCUUAACGUGGGAACUGCAUUUGAAACUGGCAAGCUAGAGUCUUGUAGAGGGGGGUAGAAUUCCAGGUGUAGCGGUGAAAUGCGUAGAGAUCUGGAGGAAUACCGGUGGCGAAGGCGGCCCCCUGGACAAAGACUGACGCUCAGGUGCGAAAGCGUGGGGAGCAAACA